GUCUACAGCUGUGCUCCCCUGAAUAAGCCCAAUCCCAUCUGAUCUCGGAAGCUAAGCAGGUUUGGGCCUGAUUAGUACUUGGAUGGGAAACCACCUAGGAAGACCAGGUUCUGUAAGCA
This is a ribosomal RNA of Pteropus vampyrus (large flying fox), 119 nucleotides long. The record is from Ensembl. Lineage: Eukaryota; Metazoa; Chordata; Mammalia; Chiroptera; Pteropodidae.